This 449-nucleotide ribosomal RNA is filed under the name uncultured bacterium. RNAcentral describes it as "partial 16S ribosomal RNA". It matches the Rfam family "Bacterial small subunit ribosomal RNA", at positions 29 to 523 of the family's 1533-position model. The record is from RNAcentral.
AGCGAACGCUGGCGGCAGGCCUAACACAUGCAAGUCGAACGGACCCUUCGGGUUUAGUGGCGGACGGGUGAGUAACACGUGGGAACGUGCCUUUAGGUUCGGAAUAGCUCCUGGAAACGGGUGGUAAUGCCGAAUGUGCCCUUCGGGGGAAAGAUUUAUCGCCUUUAGAGCGGCCCGCGUCUGAUUAGCUAGUUGGUGAGGUAAUGGCUCACCAAGGCGACGAUCAGUAGCUGGUCUGAGAGGAUGACCAGCCACAUUGGGACUGAGACACGGCCCAAACUCCUACGGGAGGCAGCAGUGGGGAAUCUUGCGCAAUGGGCGAAAGCCUGACGCAGCCAUGCCGCGUGGAUGAUGAAGGUCUUAGGAUUGUAAAAUCCUUUCACCGGUGAAGAUAAUGACUGUAGCCGGAGAAGAAGCCCCGGCUAACUUCGUGCCAGCAGCCGCAGUAA